AUGAACGCUGGCGGCGUGCCUAAUACAUGCACGUCGAGCGAACAGACGAGGAGCUUGCUCCUCUGACGUUAGCGGCGGACGGGUGAGUAACACGUGGAUAACCUACCUAUAAGACUGGGAUAACUUCGGGAAACCGGAGCUAAUACCGGAUAAUAUAUUUAACCGCAUGGUUCAAUAGUGAAAGACGGUUUUGCUGUCACUUAUAGAUGGAUUCGCGCCGCAUUAGCUAGUUGGUAAGGUAACGGCUUACCAAGGCAACGAUGCGUAGCCGACCUGAGAGGGUGAUCGGCCACACUGGAACUGAGACACGGUCCAGACUCCUACGGGAGGCAGCAGUAGGGAAUCUUCCGCAAUGGGCGAAAGCCUGACGGAGCAACGCCGCGUGAGUGAUGAAGGUCUUCGGAUCGUAAAACUCUGUUAUUAGGGAAGAACAAAUGUGUAAGUAACUAUGCACGUCUUGACGGUACCUAAUCAGAAAGCCACGGCUAACUACGUG
RNAcentral lists this ribosomal RNA (496 nucleotides) under uncultured bacterium. Its description in RNAcentral is "partial 16S ribosomal RNA". It matches the Rfam family "Bacterial small subunit ribosomal RNA", at positions 29 to 507 of the family's 1533-position model. The record is from RNAcentral.